UACGAAGGGUGCAAGCGUUACUCGGAAUUACUGGGCGUAAAGCGUGCGUAGGUGGUUCGUUAAGUCUGAUGUGAAAGCCCUGGGCUCAACCUGGGAACUGCAUUUGUGACUGCAAGGCUGGAGUGCGGCAGAGGGGGAUGGAAUUCCGCGUGUAGCAGUGAAAUGCGUAGAUAUGCGGAGGAACACCGAUGGCGAAGGCAAUCCCCUGGGCCUGCACUGACGCUCAUGCACGAAAGCGUGGGGAGCAAACAGG
This 253-nucleotide ribosomal RNA is filed under the name uncultured bacterium. Its description in RNAcentral is "partial 16S ribosomal RNA". It matches the Rfam family "Bacterial small subunit ribosomal RNA", at positions 524 to 776 of the family's 1533-position model. The record is from RNAcentral.